CCGCGUUCGCGAAAGCGCGCUUUAGCUUCUCUCUCGCCACCGUCCGCCCGCGAAUCACGAGGCUCCGACGACGCCCUGCGAGUCACGUAGGCAACGUGGCUCUCAGCUCGCGGCUCCGGGGCCGAGAAAUGACGCAAACGACGACGCUUGUUAGCACGGCGACGCGAUGCAAAUUGGAGAUCGCGAUUUUCGCGACGGACAUAGAUAACGCGUUACAUGAUAUAUAUCGCGCGCGAUACUCGAUCUAUAUUCCCACGAUGCUGCUCGAAAUUCGAAGUCAUCUCUUUCGUCACUCUGCAGUAACUGUUUUUAUUUUUUUUUUUAUUUCAAUAAACUCGUUUUCGCAACGAGUUUGCCCAACAUUGUUAUUGUUUCUUUCGACGCGUGUAAUAGCGAUAACGUCGAUUAUAAAAUUCGCACAGCAAAUGUCAUAUAGCGAGAGUAGGGGAGAUCCUGAUCCCCCUCCCCUUCGUUACGACGCGAAUUCCAACCAAUGUUACAGUACGAUUUCACAUCUAUCGAUAAAUUAGAAGAACGAUAAGACACUAGUUUCGCAUUCGCGCAUCCAUAGAUUCCGACGGUUUUUAAUUUUUACUUCGUCUUACAACGAGACCGAUCGAGAGUGAGGUUUAAAGCGAGAUAUUCGCGAGGAUGGGCGCGAGUGAGAGUCGCUGAUUCUUCGCGUUCGCCGGCUUCGACCGCGCCAUUUUGCGCGUAAUAAUAUAAGAGAAGCAGCGUUUUUCUACGCCGUAUACACACGCAUAUAUCCGCCGUCGAAAAAGGGAAAGAGGAUCGCCUUCGUUCUCGCAAGGGCGACCUUCUUCGUCGCCCUUGUUUUUCAUCGAUGGUGUUUUGGGCCACCGAAUCGAGAUAAGCACGGCGAAAUGAUGCCGGCUGCGUCGCAUGUUUCGACGAUGCGGAUGCGCGCGCACAGCGCUCUCCGGUCACGUACGCCGUGAUCGACACGUAUCACGCCACCGUGGUGGGGGGAGAAGGAACGCGCGCUUCAUGGCGGGAGAGGUGCGUAGAACAACCGAGAACAUUGAAUGUGACGUCGCAAAUGGAGGGAGACAGCCGGCCGACGAGCGUCGCGCAUGAAUUUCAAAUAAAAUAUACGUGUAUACAAGGAUUUUUUUGAAUGAAGUAAAGAUUAGCUCCUAGGAUUCUUUAGAGAGUCUAAGCGACGAUAUGUGAGACAGGCGUUUCAAGGUCGAGGACGAGAGAAGAAAUGACGCCGGCUCUUGAUCUCUCCCGUUUCGCCUUUGGAAUAUUUACCGUCGACGAUUUGAGAAUAUUUGUCGGUCGCCGGCGAAAUUGCGUAACCAUUUGCAUCCACAUCGGAAACAAUCGAGGAAUUUGCUGAGUAGAAAUAAGGCGUCUUAAGAAAACUUAUUUUCCAGAUUGCCAGAUACACGCCUCGGAUACACACAAACACGGGAUGAGGAUUCGAGGAAAUGGAUUUCGGUCGGAGCCGUACGUUUUUUGCGCAUCCUGUGGAACGAACAUGAACCGCGCGCGGAUGAGCUUAAAGGAGAACGAUCACGAUGAGAGAGGGUUACGUAACCGAGGGGGAACCGAUACGCCGGCCGGCCAGCCGGCCGGCCGGCAAGCAAGCACCGGUGCUGGCGUUUUUCAGCUACGUAUUUCGACAUGGUAUAUAUUCGUAUAUAUCUAAUAAUUUGUUUAAUGAAGAAAUUUUACAGGCCUUUUAUUUAUCCUCUCGCGAUUGCUGCGAUUAUCCGCGUACGAUCUGAGUAACGCAAUAUUUACACGGAGAUGAUUCACACGCACAUGUGUAUGUACAUACGCGAGGUAGUCGAGUCUCAAAGGGAUGCGUGAUCUGCGCAAAUCAUCGAUAUCAAUAAAGACGCCCAAUAAAAGCAAACUUCGUUUCAAAGCAAGCUGUCGCCGAAAUACCUUUGUAAGAACGAUUAUAUGCACAUAUAAAAAAAAAAACACAUUUGCAAGAUAAUAAGUUAAUAAUAAACCUGAAAGAAAAUAUUGGUUGAAAAAAAAAAACAUAUCUUACGAUACUGUUAAUGAAGCAUGAAUAAAUCAUUGGACAUCUGCGCUUAUUUAUAUCUAAAAUUUUUCCAAGAACGAAUUACACGAUUUCUUCUUUGAUGAUUCAUGAGCCGAUGUGAACAAUAUGCUAAUUUAAAUUAUUUGAAUUAUAUAUUAAGGGGGAGAGGGAAGGGAAUGUGAAAUCUAAUCGUACUUUCAUCAAAAUUAUCUCCCGCCUUCUCGAGUAAAUUAAUUCCGAUUGCGUUAAUGAAUUCUAAAUUGGACGUAACUUCCUGCACGCGCGUGGCCAGGAAAGAUAAACACAUUGAGAAGAAUUCUUUAUGAGCCUAAGUUUCGCCACGAGCGAAAAGAAAAAUUUCUUCUUCCUCUCCCUCUCUUUUUCCCCCACAAUCUUCCCUGCCAAGCAUCCUCUCCCCCUCUUCCCUCCUCGAGUUUUAAGAACCCGAUGACCUUCCGACUCCUACGCAUCGAAAAUACGCUCUAGCAAGAAUCACAGCGAACUUAUUUAAUCGUAAGACGGCGACGAUAAAGGGGACGAGAGAAAUAUUCGGUAGACACAAUGAGCGAGCGAGCGAUAUAUAUAUAUAUAUUUUUUUUUUAUUCUGCGCGUCGUAAAAUCGCGCCGAUAGUCUUUGGCUUCGAUAUUCGCAUCGGUAUUCGCCAGCGAUGAAGCGAAAACACACAUUUUUGCGUCUACGCCGAUUAAAUAUCGUCGGCCCGACGCGCAAAUACAUUUUUCACGAGACACACGUGUUAUCUCAGAAAGAGAGCGUGCACACGCGUAUGCGUCAGAAUAUUUAUUUUCGCUCGCGCGAUUGUCAAGUUCUAGAUUGUCAAGUAAUACAUCAAUAAUAAUUUUCCACGUGAAUCAUAAUAGUCGCCAGACAUAGAUAAACUCGAAAAACGAACGGUAUCGCGGUAAAUGACAGUUGCGUAACGUAAGUUAAUUAAUUAAAUGGAGGUGGUUUAAUUGCGCAUUUGAUAUCGACUGCUGACGAAUCUUCUGAUCGCACGUGCGUACAUUGAUAGCGAAUUUUGUAGUCGUGCGGCAUGCCUCGUAUGUAUGAGACAGUAAGUUAUUACGACUCUAUUCGACCGGGAGAGAGAGGGGGUAAGGGGGAAGGUCGUAUUAUGCAAAGAACUCUGUAGGUAGAUAUCGUGGCCAUCAAUAUUCGGACAAUAGAUCUCAAGGAUGCUUUUCUAGAGCAUAUUUGGUAUUCUUAGGCGAAUUAGCAUAAGAUGAGAGAAUAAUAUCCAAAAAAUAAGGAAACUUUAUUAAAUAAUCGUCGCAAAAAACAACAUCGCUAGUUGUGUUGGCAUAAAAAAAACCGGUUUGAAAUCACCAAUGAUGAUGGCAAUAUAUUUCCUUUUUCUUCUUUCUUUAUUCUCCGCAAGCGAUGCAAAAAUCUUCUCUCCCUUUAUUGAGAAGCGAAUGAAUGACUUACGAAGAGAAAAAUCUCCUAAGAAGAAAGGAUUACUCGCUUAUUAUAGAAUUUUUUUUUACUCUCGGCACUUACAGUAGGGGAUCAUCGCUAUUAGUGGAUAAGUCUUAACAUCGCGGACUAGAAUAGAUAGUUGCUGUUAGUUUUUCACGAUGCUACGAAGCGUGAAGUGCAUAAAGACAUUUGAUCGAUUAAGAGUAUUGUUUGCGAUCGUUUUCUUAUCAAAGCAUCUCGUGAAAGAUAAGUGAAUAUGAUAAUGGGUUGCUUCGAUUAAAAGCGAGAUAUCUUGGCUUAUUUUUUUUUUCUUUUUUCUUUUUUGAAACCAAGAUGAAUUAUAUAAAGUUUUGAAUGUUAUAAAGUUUUUUUAGCUUUACAUAAAGAGAGUGAGAAAUAUGAAUUGAAUAGAUUACGAUCGAUAAUACACCGUGAAUUAAUAAUUAAUAAAAGUAUAGUGUUAUUUUAAUUAUACAAACUGAAAGCAUGAUUUAUCAAUCCAUUUUAACCAGUCAAAGGGCUCGCGAAAGAGGCGAUGAACUCGAUUGACCUAAGAUCAUCUUUUUUUCUGUUGCGCUCUCUCUCUCUCUCUCUCUCUCUCUCUCUCUCUCUCUCUUUAUCUCGAUAAGUUCCGAAAUAAAAUCGUGUAUGAUAGCGCGAUUUUAUGCAGAAACUUUUAUAAUAUCAACUCCUCUCUUUGCCAUUUUUAUUCUCAUAACGAUCAUAUCAAUAAUAUUUUCAUUAUCCUCUCAAUAUAACUUAUUAAUCUCAAUUUCUCAUCAGAGUCAUUUUUUUUUUAUUUUUCCUGUGAGAUAAAGAUCACAAGAUCGGCCGAUUCCUCGAAUUACGACUGUCAUUAGCGGAAAAAAUUAAUUUAUGAAGAUAGAGACGAGAGAUUGCUCGCGCGCGUACAUUAUUAUUUUUAUCGCUACUUAUAAAAGAGACCAUGCGCGGCGUCAUUCCUAUUUCCUCGCGUAUCGAUUCGCGAGAGAAAAAAAGCACGCGUCGCGCGGAGCCUUUAGGUCAAAGGUAGCGUCGUAUAAUCGGGCGUGUAAAAGUGAAUCCGCGAGAUUUAUAUAUAUAUAUAUAUAUAUACACGUGCGACAGAGGAAUUCUCAGGGUGCAAUCAACCUGCGCUCAGAGGUACAUCGCACUGUGUUACGCCACGCGGAAAGCCUUGACUUUAUUGCACGCUGCGCGACAACACACGUCGCAAUACGCCAACUCCUUUCCCUUUUUAUGGCGCUCGUUGCCGUUCAUU
Long non-coding RNA from Cataglyphis hispanica, 4722 nucleotides. RefSeq lists it as uncharacterized. Lineage: Eukaryota; Metazoa; Arthropoda; Insecta; Hymenoptera; Formicidae. The record is from RefSeq and is a predicted model, not a curated record. The transcript has 3 exons.